Non-coding RNA from Coregonus clupeaformis (lake whitefish), 468 nucleotides. Lineage: Eukaryota; Metazoa; Chordata; Actinopteri; Salmoniformes; Salmonidae. The record is from the annotation of a RefSeq genome assembly.
UGGUCUGGGAGUGUUUAUAGCCCUGUGAGUUUAACACUUCAUGACUGAGAGCUGUCCUUCAUGACAACAGAACCCACAACAACCAUGACUUUUAUCACCAUCUUCAUCUGGAUAUUUGCCCUCUGUCUCCAAGAAUCCAGAGGCCAGGUCACUGUAACUCAGACCCCUGCAGUAAAAGCUGUUAUCCCAGGACAGACAGUCUCUCUGAACUGUAAAACCAGCAGUGAUGUGCAUGGUGCAGGAGGCUCUCCCCGCCUAGCCUGGUACCAACAGAAACCUGGAGGAGAUCCUAAACUCCUAAUAUCCUUGGCUACAACACUUCAGUCUGGGAAUCCAUCUAGAUUCAGUGGUAGUGGAACUCAUAGUGACUUCACUCUGACCAUCAGUGGAGUCCAAGCUGAAGAUGCAGGAGAUUACUACUGUCAGAGUGAACACAACCUCAACAGUGUCUGGGUGUUCACACAGUGA